UACGGGAGGCAGCAGUGGGGAAUAUUGCACAAUGGGCGCAAGCCUGAUGCAGCCAUGCCGCGUGUAUGAAGAAGGCCUUCGGGUUGUAAAGUACUUUCAGUCGUGAGGAAGGUGUUAAGGUUAAUAACCUUAGCAAUUGACGUUAGCGACAGAAGAAGCACCGGCUAACUCCGUGCCAGCAGCCGCGGUAAUACGGAGGGUGCGAGCGUUAAUCGGAAUUACUGGGCGUAAAGGGCACGCAGGCGGUUAAUUAAGUUGGAUGUGAAAUCCCCGGGCUUAACCUGGGAAUGGCAUUCAAGACUGGUUAGCUAGAGUCUUGUAGAGGGGGUAGAAUUCCAUGUGUAGCGGUGAAAUGCGUAGAGAUGUGGAGGAAUCCGGUGGCGAAGGCGGCCCCUGGACAAAGGACUGACGCUCAUGUGCGAAAGCGUGGGGAGCAAACAGGGAUUAGAUACC
This 453-nucleotide ribosomal RNA is filed under the name uncultured bacterium. RNAcentral's name for it is "bacterial SSU rRNA". It matches the Rfam family "Bacterial small subunit ribosomal RNA", at positions 340 to 786 of the family's 1533-position model. The record is from RNAcentral.